AGCUUUUCGAAUCCGUACUGAGAUUUCGUCGGACACCAACACAUUAGGGCUGAUCAAACUUCCAAGGUAAGUAAAGUU
Molecule: microRNA precursor, 78 nt
Filed under: Schistosoma mattheei
Lineage: Eukaryota; Metazoa; Platyhelminthes; Trematoda; Strigeidida; Schistosomatidae
Description: mir-3492 microRNA precursor family
Rfam family: mir-3492 microRNA precursor family
Source: Rfam by way of RNAcentral